UUCGGUUGAUCCUGCCGAAGGCUACUGCUAUUGGAGUUCGAUUAAGCCAUGCGAGUCUAAGGGGUACUUGUACCCCUGGCAUAAUGCUCAGUAACACGUGGAUAAUCUACCCUUAGGUGGGGCAUAAACCCGGGAAACUGGGGCUAAUUCCCCAUAGAUACAGAAGGCUGGAAUGCCUCUGUAUUCAAAGCUCCGGCGCCUAAGGAUGAGUCUGCGACCUAUCAGGUAGUAGUCAGGGUCACGACCUGACUAGCCAACGACGGGUACGGGGUGUGAGAGCACUUGCCCGGAGAUGGUUUCUGAGACACGAAACCAGGCCCUACGGGGCGCAGCAGGCGCGAAAACUUCGCAAUGCGGGAAACCGUGACGAGGGAACUCCAAGUGUCUAUGCAAUGCAUAGACUGUUUUUCAGCCUAAAUAGCUGUUAGAGUAAGGGGUGGGUAAGACCGGUGCCAGCCGCCGCGGUAACACCGGCACCCCGAGUGGUAGCCACUAUUAUUGGGCCUAAAGCGUUCGUAGCCGGUUUAGUAAAUUCUUGGGUAAAUCGUACAGCUUAACUGUGCGGAUUCCGGGGACACUACUAGACUUGAGACCGGGAGAGAUUAGAGGUACUUGCAGGGGAGCGGUGAAAUGUUGUAAUCCUGCAGGGACCACCAGUGGCGAAGGCGUCUAAUCAUAACGGCUCUGACGGUGAGGAACGAAACCCUGGGGCGCAAACGGGAUUAGAUACCCCGGUAGUCCAGGGCGUAAACGCUGCUGACUUGGUGUUGGAGAUCCUACGAGGGUGUCCAGUGCUGGCGCGAAGGUAUUAAGUCAGCCGCCUGGGGAGUACGGUCGCAAGACUGAAACUUAAAGGAAUUGGCGGGGGAGCACUGCAACGUGUGGAGCGUGCGGUUUAAUUGGAUUCAACGCCGGAAAACUCACCGGGGGCGACGGUUACAUGAAGGCCAAGCUGAUGACUUUGCCUGAUUUUCCGAGAGGUGGUGCAUGGCCGCCGUCAGUUCGUACCGUAAGGCGUUCUGUUAAGUCAGAUAACGAACGAGACC
This 1046-nucleotide ribosomal RNA is filed under the name marine metagenome. RNAcentral's name for it is "bacterial SSU rRNA". It matches the Rfam family "Archaeal small subunit ribosomal RNA", at positions 1 to 1052 of the family's 1478-position model. The record is from RNAcentral.